This 1450-nucleotide ribosomal RNA is filed under the name uncultured organism. RNAcentral describes it as "16S ribosomal RNA". It matches the Rfam family "Bacterial small subunit ribosomal RNA". The record is from RNAcentral.
ACGAACGCUGGCGGCGUGCUUAACACAUGCAAGUCGAACGGAAAGGCCCUGCUUUUGUGGGGUGCUCGAGUGGCGAACGGGUGAGUAACACGUGAGUAACCUGCCCUUGACUUUGGGAUAACUUCAGGAAACUGGGGCUAAUACCGGAUAGGAGCUCCUGCUGCAUGGUGGGGGUUGGAAAGUUUCGGCGGUUGGGGAUGGACUCGCGGCUUAUCAGCUUGUUGGUGGGGUAGUGGCUUACCAAGGCUUUGACGGGUAGCCGGCCUGAGAGGGUGACCGGCCACAUUGGGACUGAGAUACGGCCCAGACUCCUACGGGAGGCAGCAGUGGGGAAUAUUGCACAAUGGGCGGAAGCCUGAUGCAGCAACGCCGCGUGCGGGAUGACGGCCUUCGGGUUGUAAACCGCUUUCGCCUGUGACGAAGCGUGAGUGACGGUAAUGGGUAAAGAAGCACCGGCUAACUACGUGCCAGCAGCCGCGGUGAUACGUAGGGUGCGAGCGUUGUCCGGAUUUAUUGGGCGUAAAGGGCUCGUAGGUGGUUGAUCGCGUCGGAAGUGUAAUCUUGGGGCUUAACCCUGAGCGUGCUUUCGAUACGGGUUGACUUGAGGAAGGUAGGGGAGAAUGGAAUUCCUGGUGGAGCGGUGGAAUGCGCAGAUAUCAGGAGGAACACCAGUGGCGAAGGCGGUUCUCUGGGCCUUUCCUGACGCUGAGGAGCGAAAGCGUGGGGAGCGAACAGGCUUAGAUACCCUGGUAGUCCACGCUGUAAACGGUGGGUACUAGGUGUGGGGUCCAUUCCACGGGUUCCGUGCCGUAGCUAACGCUUUAAGUACCCCGCCUGGGGAGUACGGCCGCAAGGCUAAAACUCAAAGGAAUUGACGGGGCCCCGCACAAGCGGCGGAGCAUGCGGAUUAAUUCGAUGCAACGCGUAGAACCUUACCUGGGUUUGACAUGGAUCGGGAGUGCUCAGAGAUGGGUGUGCCUCUUUUGGGGUCGGUUCACAGGUGGUGCAUGCCUGUCGUCAGCUCGUGUCGUGAGAUGUUGGGUUAAGUCCCGCAACGAGCGCAACCCUUGUUCACUGUUGCCAGCACGUUAUGGUGGGGACUCAGUGGAGACCGCCGGGGUCAACUCGGAGGAAGGUGGGGAUGACGUCAAGUCCUCAUGCCCCUUAUGUCCAGGGCUUCACGCAUGCUACAAUGGCUGGUACAGAGAGUGGCGAGCCUGUGAGGGUGAGCGAAUCUCGGAAAGCCGGUCUCAGUUCGGAUUGGGGUCUGCAACUCGACCUCAUGAAGUCGGAGUCGCUAGUAAUCGCAGAUCAGCAACGCUGCGGUGAAUACGUUCCCGGGGCUUGUACACACCGCCCGUCAAGUCAUGAAAGUUGGUAACACCCGAAGCCGGUGGCCUAACCGUUGUGGGGGAGCCGUCGAAGGUGGGACUGGUGAUUAGGACUAAGU